This 359-nucleotide ribosomal RNA is filed under the name uncultured bacterium. RNAcentral describes it as "partial 16S ribosomal RNA". It matches the Rfam family "Bacterial small subunit ribosomal RNA", at positions 338 to 694 of the family's 1533-position model. The record is from RNAcentral.
CCUACGGGCGGCAGCAGUGAGGAAUAUUGGUCAAUGGACGAGAGUCUGAACCAGCCAAGUAGCGUGAAGGAUGACUGCCCUAUGGGUUGUAAACUUCUUUUAUAUGGGAAUAAAACGUUCCACGUGUGGGAUUUUGUAUGUACCAUAUGAAUAAGGAUCGGCUAACUCCGUGCCAGCAGCCGCGGUAAUACGGAGGAUCCGAGCGUUAUCCGGAUUUAUUGGGUGUAAAGGGAGCGUAGGUGUAUUGUUAAGACAGUGGUGAAAGUUUGCGGCUCAAGCGUAAAAUUGCAGUUGAAAGUGGCAGUCUUGAUUAGAGUAGAGGUGGGCGGAAUUCGUGGUGUAGCGGUGAAAUGCUUAUA